RNAcentral lists this unclassified non-coding RNA (248 nucleotides) under Hevea brasiliensis (rubber tree). Lineage: Eukaryota; Viridiplantae; Streptophyta; Magnoliopsida; Malpighiales; Euphorbiaceae. The record is from RNAcentral.
UGGACAACAAAAAUCAAAAGCAAAAUGGAAACCCAACAGGCCCUAUGUGUUCUGAACAUAAGUGCACCAUGUCUUGUACCACGUCAUCUGUGAUGAACUCCAAGACAAGGGUGCAUGGAUUCAAAAUUACAAGAGGACACACAAUUAGAAAUUAUAAUCAGAAGGACACUCAUAUCAUGCAGCCUAAAACAUGUCCUAACAAUUUUUAAACCAGGGAAGCACCCAUGACAAAAUAGUCUCAUGUCAUC